AUACGGAGGGUGCAAGCGUUGUCCGGAUUUAUUGGGUUUAAAGGGUGCGUAGGCGGCCCGUUAAGUCAGUGGUGAAAGGUAUCAGCUCAACUGAUGAAGUGCCAUUGAAACUAACGGGCUUGAGUACAGACGAGGUAGGCGGAAUUUAUGGUGUAGCGGUGAAAUGCAUAGAUACCAUAAAGAACACCGAUAGCGAAGGCAGCUUACUAGACUGUCACUGACGCUGAGGCACGAAAGCGUAGGUAGCAAACAGGAUUAGAAACCCCAGUAGUCC
RNAcentral lists this ribosomal RNA (274 nucleotides) under uncultured bacterium. RNAcentral describes it as "partial 16S ribosomal RNA". It matches the Rfam family "Bacterial small subunit ribosomal RNA", at positions 523 to 796 of the family's 1533-position model. The record is from RNAcentral.